Molecule: ribosomal RNA, 403 nt
Filed under: bacterium
Lineage: Bacteria
Description: partial 16S ribosomal RNA
Rfam family: Bacterial small subunit ribosomal RNA
Source: RNAcentral
UGGGGAAUAUUGCACAAUGGAGGGAACUCUGAUGCAGCGACGCCGCGUGAACGAAGAAGGCUUUCGAGUCGUAAAGUUCUUUUAUAUGGGAAGAUAAUGACGGUACCAUAAGAAGAAGCCCCGGCUAACUACGUGCCAGCAGCCGCGGUAAUACGUAGGGGGCUAGCGUUGUCCGGAAUCACUGGGCGUAAAGGGUUCGCAGGCGGAAAUGCAAGUAAGGUGUAAAAGGCAGUAGCUUAACUACUGUAAGCAUUUGAAACUGCAUAUCUUGAGAAGAGUAGAGGUAAGUGGAAUUUUUAGUGUAGCGGUGAAAUGCGUAGAUAUUAAAAAGAAUACCGGUGGCGAAGGCGACUUACUGGGCUCAUUCUGACGCUGAGGAACGAAAGCGUGGGUAGCAAACAGG